Oncorhynchus keta (chum salmon) is the source of this 888-nucleotide long non-coding RNA. RefSeq lists it as uncharacterized. The transcript is spliced from 3 exons. The record is from RefSeq and is a predicted model, not a curated record. Lineage: Eukaryota; Metazoa; Chordata; Actinopteri; Salmoniformes; Salmonidae.
UUUUUCCGGCAUCGUGGUGGAAGGUGUAUGACCGUCAUCCCCUCACACGCCUCUUCUCCAGGCAAUGGAGGAUGCAUGUGGUGAAGUUGAUGUGGGGGCUUUUGGUGGCUUGUGAUGAUGUAGAUGAGGUGCUGUUUAGCCAGGGAGAACAUGGCUUGUGAUGUGGAUGAGGUGCUGUUUAGCCAGGGAGAACAUGGCUUGUGAUGUAGAUGAGGUGCUGUUUAGCCAGGGAGAACAUGGCUUGUGAUGUAGAUGAGGUGCUGUUUAGCCAGGGAGAACAUGGCUUGUGAUGUAGAUGAGGUGCUGUUUAGCCAGGGAGAACAUGGCUUGUGAUGUGGAUGAGGUGCUGUUUAGCCAGGGAGAACAUGGCUUGUGAUGUAGAUGAGGUGCUGUUUAGCCAGGGAGAACAUGGCUUGUGAUGUAGAUGAGGUGCUGUUUAGCCAGGGAGAACAUGGCUUGUGAUGUAGAUGAGGUGCUGUUUAGCCAGGGAGAACAUGGCUUGUGAUGUGGAUGAGGUGCUGUUUAGCCAGGGAGAACAUGGCUUGUGAUGUAGAUGAGGUGCUGUUUAGCCAGGGAGAACAUGGCUUGUGAUGUGGAUGAGGUGCUGUUUAGCCAGGGAGAACAUGGCUUGUGAUGUAGAUGAGGUGCUGUUUAGCCAGGGAGAACAUGGCUUGUGAUGUAGAUGAGGUGCUGUUUAGCCAGGGAUAACAUGGCUUGUGCUGUGGCCAGACCCAAAUAGGAGGCAGGAUGCAACCUAAUGCCUUUUUAUUCUUUUAAACAUUUUUGCGUUUUUGUCUUUGUUUUUAGAGUUUUGAAAGAAUGAGCCACUUUCAUUUUUUAUUUUUGUACAGAAAACCCUUUAUCUUACUGAAUGUUUUUCCUGUUUUA